UUUGGCCGAGAAAGUCCCACUUGAACCCUUUAUUCCAUUUAAGAAGGAAGGAGAAAGUUCGUUAACAAAGGGUUUUCCCGUAGGGUGAANCCUGNCGGAAAGGANCCAUUGUCGCACCCCUUGCAAAGCGAACGACCCGCGAAUGUGUUUUUACCACAGUGUCGGUCAUGUGCAGGGCUUGGCUCAAAACAUGACCGGCCAAAAACUAACCAUCGAGCGCGGAAUGCGCCAAGGAAAAUAAAAGGACACUACAGCCCCUUUGCGCCUCCGAGACGGGGCUCGCUUUGGGGAUGUGUAUGUUCUAUAUAAGUCAUAACGACUCUCGGCAACGGAUAUCUCGGCUCUCGUACCGAUGAADAACGUAGCGAAAUGCGAUACGUGGUGUGAAUUGCAGAAUUCCGUGAACCAUCGAGUUUUUGAACGCAAGUUGCGCCCGAAGCCAUUCGGCCGAGGGCACGCCUGCCUGGGCGUCACGCACCGUUGCCCCCUUUUCCAGCACUUCCCUCACGAAAGAGGGGCUUGCUUGUGCAGUGGGCGUAUAUUGGCUUCCCGUAUGCUCAGUCUUGCGGUUGGCCUAAAAUUGAAUUCCUUAGCUGCGAUGGCCGUGGCACUUGGUGGUAUUCGACAGAGUUGCCUCAUGCCACGAGCUCUUCACAGUCUUACGGACGACACUUAGACUCAAAUGUGCGCCCUUAACGGGGCGACACUUCCAACGCGACCCCAGGUCAGGCGGGAUUAACCCGCUGAAUUUAAGCAUAUCAAUHAGCGGAGGAAAAGAA
This 779-nucleotide ribosomal RNA is filed under the name Pilea lapestris. RNAcentral describes it as "eukaryotic LSU rRNA". The stretch from base 318 to 473 matches the Rfam family "5.8S ribosomal RNA". Lineage: Eukaryota; Viridiplantae; Streptophyta; Magnoliopsida; Rosales; Urticaceae. The record is from RNAcentral.